GAUGAAGAACGUAGUGAAAUGCGAUAAGUAGUGUGAAUUGCAGAAUUCAGUGAAUCAUCGAAUCUUUGAACGCACAUUGCGCCCCAUGGUAUUCCGUGGGGCAUGCCUGUUCGAGCGUCAUUUACCCCCUCAAGCUCCGCUUGGUGUUGGGCGUCUGUCCCGCUUCGCGCGCGGACUCGCCCCAAAGGUAUUGGCAGCGGUCGUGCCAGCUUCUCGCGCAGCACAUUGCGCUUCUCGAGGCACCGGUGGGCCCGCGUCCAUCAAGCUCACCCCCCCAGUUUGACCUCGGAUCAGGUAGGGAUACCCGCUGAACUUAAGCAUAUCAAUAACGGAGGA
Molecule: unclassified non-coding RNA, 336 nt
Filed under: soil metagenome
Description: partial contains 5.8S ribosomal RNA, internal transcribed spacer 2, and large subunit ribosomal RNA
Rfam family: 5.8S ribosomal RNA (bases 1-120)
Source: RNAcentral